RNAcentral lists this ribosomal RNA (253 nucleotides) under uncultured bacterium. RNAcentral describes it as "partial 16S ribosomal RNA". It matches the Rfam family "Bacterial small subunit ribosomal RNA", at positions 524 to 776 of the family's 1533-position model. The record is from RNAcentral.
UACAGAGGCCUCGAGCGUUGCGCGGAAUCACUGGGCUUAAAGGGUGCGUAGGCGGACAUGUAAGUGCCUUGUGAAAUCCCCGGGCUCAACCCGGGAACUGCUUGGUAGACUGCAUGUCUUGAGGUCGGUAGGGGUCGCUGGAACAGUUGGUGGAGCGGUGAAAUGCGUAGAUAUCAACUGGAACGCCAAAGGCGAAGGCAAGCGACUGGGCCGAUUCUGACGCUGAGGCACGAAAGCGUGGGGAGCAAACGGG